GACGAACGCUGGCGGCGCGCUUAACACAUGCAAGUCGAGCGAUGAAAUCUUGACAGAUCCCUUCGGGGUGAAGAUAAGAUGGAUUAGCGGCGGACGGGUGAGUAACACGUGAGUAACCUGCUUUAGACAUUGGGAUAGCCUCGGGAAACCGGGAUUAAUACCAAAUGAAAUCAUAGGUGCCCAUGCACUAAUGAUCAAAACUCCGGUGGUCUAAGAUGGACUCGCGUCCCAUUAGCUAGUUGGUGAGGUAAUGGCCCACCAAGGCGACGAUGGGUAGCCGGCCUGAGAGGGUGAACGGCCACAUUGGAACUGAGAAACGGUCCAAACUCCUACGGGAGGCAGCAGUGGGGAAUAUUGCACAAUGGAGGGAACUCUGAUGCAGCGACGCCGCGUGAACGAUGAAGGCUUUCGAGUCGUAAAGUUCUUUUAUAUGGGAAGAUAAUGACGGUACCAUAAGAAAAAGCCCCGGCUAACUACGUG
RNAcentral lists this ribosomal RNA (480 nucleotides) under uncultured bacterium. RNAcentral describes it as "partial 16S ribosomal RNA". It matches the Rfam family "Bacterial small subunit ribosomal RNA", at positions 28 to 507 of the family's 1533-position model. The record is from RNAcentral.